RNAcentral lists this ribosomal RNA (408 nucleotides) under uncultured bacterium. RNAcentral's name for it is "partial 16S ribosomal RNA". It matches the Rfam family "Bacterial small subunit ribosomal RNA", at positions 28 to 526 of the family's 1533-position model. The record is from RNAcentral.
GACGAACGCUGGCGGCGUGCUUAACACAUGCAAGUCGAACGAAGUGGCGAACGGGUGAGUAAUACGUGAGUAACCUGCCCUCCUUUUUGGGAUAAGCCUUGGAAACGGGGUCUAAUACCCGCUAAAGGGGGAUGGGCUCGCGGCCUAUCGGCUUGUUGGUGGGGUGAUGGCCUACCAAGGCCGUGCCGGGUAGCCGGCAUGAGGGGGGGAACGGGAACAGUGGGACGGAGCAGACGCCCAGGCGACUAAGGGGGGGAGCAGAGUGGGCUAUGGGAGAAUGGCCGAAGGAGUGAUGCAGCGUCGAUGAGGAGGGGAUGAAGGUUUUAGAGUUGUAAAAGUGGGGAGCUAGCGAACGGGUAGGUGGAGAAGAAGCGCCGGCUAACUACGUGCCAGCAGCCGCGGUAAUAC